RNAcentral lists this ribosomal RNA (253 nucleotides) under uncultured bacterium. RNAcentral describes it as "partial 16S ribosomal RNA". It matches the Rfam family "Bacterial small subunit ribosomal RNA", at positions 524 to 776 of the family's 1533-position model. The record is from RNAcentral.
UACGGAGGGUGCAAGCGUUAUCCGGAUUCACUGGGUUUAAAGGGUGCGUAGGUGGGCAAGUAAGUCAGUGGUGAAAUCUUCGGGCUUAACCCGGAAACUGCCAUUGAUACUAUUUAUCUUGAAUACUUUGGAGGUAAGCGGAAUAUGUCAUGUAGCGGUGAAAUGCUUAGAUAUGACAUAGAACACCAAUUGCGAAGGCAGCUUACUACACAGUUAUUGACACUGAGGCACGAAAGCGUGGGGAUCAAACAGG